UAACUACCACCUAUGGGUAUACGUGGAUUAUCUUUAGAAAAUGACAUAAUCAUGCGCCGACAUAAGGUAGUAGUACCAAUGUUACACCGACGUGAAGUGUUGAAGUAAAUUCACCACUUGGGAAUCGCCAAGAGUAAAAAUGUAGCUAGAUCAUAUGUUUGGUGGCCAGGUAUAGACGCAGACAGAAAAGUUUAUACAAAACUUUUCUGCAUGUCUACUGCAAAGUCCGUCACAAUCAAAAGCACAGUUGUUGUCAUGGGAAGCGGCUUAAAGAGUUUGGAGCCGAGUUCAUGUAGAUUUUACCGGCCCGGUAAAAGGAUGGAUCUUCCUAAUAAUAAUCGAUGCGCUAUCAAAACGGGUCGCGAUUUUCAAACGAAACACUGUAUGGCACAGUUUGUGAUCGAAAAGAUAAAGGAGUGUAUUGCACGGUUUGGAAUAGUUGACGAACUGGUAAGCGACAACGGUAGCCAGUCUGUGGCUUCAGACGUAAAAAGAUUCCAUUCCACCCUCGGAGAGUGGAGAGCCACAGUGAGAGAUAGACUAAGUCAUGAAUUGAAUAGAAUGUAGAACGGAUCUCUAAGGCUGUGAACCAUUUCGCGGUUAACUAACUUUUUCUUGAAAUCUGGCAGUUGAGUGGUUGUUUUGUGUCGAGUAGGUAAAUUUAACUAAAACUGCGUCCCAUUUUAAAAUUUGACGGACGGAAAGUUAUUUGGGGUUAUUUUCCACUGGAAAUAACUUCAAGUAAAGAAUUAAUAUUAGAAUUUUCAUUGCAAGAUUUUUUUCAGUGUCGGGAAAUAACCAUCGAUCUAAUUAUUAACUAAUCAAAUUAACCGCUCAAAUGUCAUAUUUUAACCAAAACAGACCGAGAGAGUCAAGAGCGUUGCAUUUCUACGAGGAGUGUGAGCAGGAAUGUAAGAGGCGAUUGAGAGUGUGAGUUAAUAGUUAGAUAUCGUGGGAUUUUCACUAAGGGUGUGUUGAAACAUUUUACUGCUAUUUUGGGUGUAGUUUGAAGAAAUCGUAAAUUAGACAAGUUAUGAAAUUUGCUAACGAACUGAAUUGUUUUGCCUACGAAUUGAAAAGUGUUUUGUUUACAAAGUAUUGUUAUUACAUAACUUUUAUAACCAAUUUCCUUGAAACCUUUUUUUGGUUUGAGUCGUGGUUGCGCUGAGUUGAUAUUUAUGGUCGAAAUGUUUUUUUGUGAGGUUUGGGAUCUGGGUUACUGUGCUCGAAGAAUUGUAUGAUUUUCGUUCAGACAUGUGAUUAGUUUUGAAGGUAGGAGAGUUUAUUUAUAUUCUAAGAUUUUGUGAUUUUUCCUUGGAACGUAUUUCUCGAGAGUUUUGUCAAGUGCGUGUAGUGGAUAUUCAUAUCACAUCUUGCAAGGCACUCUUUUCAUCGCCAGUAUCAAUACGAAGAAAAAGCCUGGAAACUCUUUAAAUGACACAUACUGAUUCUGAAACUGUAUGAUUGAAGUUUUCCAACGGAUAUUAGAAUAGUGUUACUAUCUUGGUGGAUUGGAAGAAUCGGCUACUGGUAUUCUACAAGAACUUUCAAAGCCUUUGAGCUGGUCGAUGCCUGCAGAAAAAAUCUGUCGCAGAUUGAAAAAACAAGACGCUCAAAUUUGUGACUUAAGAUUCG
Molecule: long non-coding RNA, 1635 nt
Organism: Malaya genurostris
Lineage: Eukaryota; Metazoa; Arthropoda; Insecta; Diptera; Culicidae
Exons: 2
Source: RefSeq, a predicted model, not a curated record